This 497-nucleotide ribosomal RNA is filed under the name uncultured bacterium. Its description in RNAcentral is "partial 16S ribosomal RNA". It matches the Rfam family "Bacterial small subunit ribosomal RNA", at positions 28 to 507 of the family's 1533-position model. The record is from RNAcentral.
GACGAACGCUGGCGGCGUGCCUAAUACAUGCAAGUCGAGCGAAAGGACGAGAAGCUUGCUUCUCUGACGUUAGCGGCGGACGGGUGAGUAACACGUGGAUACCCUACCUAUAAGACUGGGAUAACUUCGGGAAACCGGAGCUAAUACCGGAUAAUAUUUUGAAGCGCAUUGGUCAUAAGUGAAAGACGGUCUUGCUGUCACUUAUAGAUGGAUCCGCGCUGCAUUGGCUAGUUGGUGAGGUAACGGCUUACCAAGGCAACGAUGCAUGGCCGAACUGAGAGGGUGGUCAGCCGCACUGGGACUGAGACACGGUCCAGACGCCUACGGAAGGGACCAGUAGGCAAUCGGCAGGAAGGGGCGAAAGCCUUACGGCACAGCGCGGCGGGAGUGAGGAGGGUCGUCGGAUCGGAAAACUCUGUUUUUAGGGAGGAACAUAUGUGCACGUAACUGUGCGCGUCUGGGCGGUACAUGAGCAGAGAGCCACGGCUAACUUCGUG